AGAGUUUGAUCAUGGCUCAGAUUGAACGCUGGCGGCAUGCCAUACACAUGCAAGUCGAACGGCAGCACGGGGGCAACCCUGGUGGCGAGUGGCGAACGGGUGAGUAAUAUAUCGGAACGUGCCCGAUCGUGGGGGAUAACGAAGCGAAAGCUUUGCUAAUACCGCAUACGAUCUACGGAUGAAAGUGGGGGCUCGCAAGACCUCAUGCUCAUGGAGCGGCCGAU
RNAcentral lists this ribosomal RNA (224 nucleotides) under uncultured bacterium. RNAcentral's name for it is "partial 16S ribosomal RNA". It matches the Rfam family "Bacterial small subunit ribosomal RNA", at positions 8 to 234 of the family's 1533-position model. The record is from RNAcentral.